UGUUAAAAAUUAUAUCUAUUUCUAAUGUUAAAAACUAGUGUGUUUAAUAAAAUAAUUAAAUAGUUAUACAAAAUGUGCCGUAUGUAUCUAAUGUUGAUAUACAAUAACUAAUUUUUAACCAUAAAUAUGAUGAAAUUUUUAAUA
RNAcentral lists this microRNA precursor (144 nucleotides) under Gossypium arboreum. Its description in RNAcentral is "MIR7502 microRNA precursor family". It matches the Rfam family "MIR7502 microRNA precursor family". The record is from Rfam by way of RNAcentral. Lineage: Eukaryota; Viridiplantae; Streptophyta; Magnoliopsida; Malvales; Malvaceae.